This 1101-nucleotide ribosomal RNA is filed under the name seawater metagenome. RNAcentral describes it as "bacterial LSU rRNA". It matches the Rfam family "Bacterial large subunit ribosomal RNA", at positions 1830 to 2925 of the family's 2925-position model. The record is from RNAcentral.
CCCUACAUGUGACGUAUACGGUGUGACACCUGCCCGGUGCCGGAAGGUUAAUUGAUGGGGUUAGUUUUCGGACGAAGCUCUUGAUCGAAGCCCCGGUAAACGGCGGCCGUAACUAUAACGGUCCUAAGGUAGCGAAAUUCCUUGUCGGGUAAGUUCCGACCUGCACGAAUGGUGUAACCAUGGCCACGCUGUCUCCACCCGAGACUCAGUGAAAUUGAAAUCGCAGUGAAGAUGCUGUGUACCCGCACCUAGACGGAAAGACCCCGUGAACCUUUACUACAGCUUGGCACUGAACAUUGAACCUACAUGUGUAGGAUAGGUGGGAGGCUUUGAAGCACAGUCGCUAGAUUGUGUGGAGCCGUCCUUGAAAUACCACCCUUGUAUGUUUGAUGUUCUAACAUUGUUCCCUUAUCGGGAAUGUGGACAGUGUCUGGUGGGUAGUUUGACUGGGGCGGUCUCCUCCCAAAUAGUAACGGAGGAGCACGAAGGUUAGCUAAUCACGGUCGGACAUCGUGAGGUUAGUGCAAUGGCAUAAGCUAGCUUAACUGCGAGACAGACACGUCGAGCAGGUACGAAAGUAGGUCAUAGUGAUCCGGUGGUUCUGUAUGGAAGGGCCAUCGCUCAACGGAUAAAAGGUACUCCGGGGAUAACAGGCUGAUACCGCCCAAGAGUUCAUAUCGACGGCGGUGUUUGGCACCUCGAUGUCGGCUCAUCACAUCCUGGGGCUGAAGUCGGUCCCAAGGGUAUGGCUGUUCGCCAUUUAAAGUGGUACGCGAGCUGGGUUUAGAACGUCGUGAGACAGUUCGGUCCCUAUCUGGUGUGGGCGUUGGAUGAUUGAUGGGAGCUGCUCCUAGUACGAGAGGACCGGAGUGGACGAACCGCUGGUGUUCGGGUUGUCAUGCCAAUGGCAUUGCCCGGUAGCUAUGUUCGGAACGGAUAACCGCUGAAAGCAUCUAAGCGGGAAGCCGGCCCAAAGAUGAGUCAUCCCUGACCUUUAAGGUCUGGAAGGGUUGUUAUAGACGAUGACGUUGAUAGGCAGGGUGUGGAAGCGUUGUAAGGCGUUAAGCUAACCUGUACUAAUUGCCCGAGAGGCUUAACCAU